GUUUUCUCCUCAGUUUUGAUAGGAUGAUGCCAGCUUCCUUUUCCGCCCGUAAUGUCCAACCAUCAGUGGGAGCAAGCAGACCAGGAAAAGGUUAUUAAAUGGCUCAAGGUGUUUCAUUUGCCUCCCCCGGUGCGCCCUGGGAAAUGCGGUUUGUGGGACACCCACGCAAUCAGGAUGCUCAUUUCAUGGAGGGAACAGGCUGGGAAAUUUAUGUGAGCAACAGAAACUCAUUGGAUCAUUCUGGAACCAUUACCAGAAGCGACACCUGUGACGCAUCCUGAUGGCUGUAAAACGAUCGAAUGCGAAACGGUACCAAGUGGGGGAGGAAGUGAGAAUAGAGAGAAAAAAUGUAGGUUUUCUCAGAGCUGGUAGGAGCAGAUGGCGAGCACAUUUUGGACAUCCUUUGUGAAUGAUUUCAAAAUCUAUUUAUCUAUUCCAAAGAGAUCGCUGGAAUCUCCA
Molecule: long non-coding RNA, 459 nt
Organism: Triplophysa dalaica
Lineage: Eukaryota; Metazoa; Chordata; Actinopteri; Cypriniformes; Nemacheilidae
Exons: 3
Source: RefSeq, a predicted model, not a curated record